GGAGGGUGGCGAGCAUUGGUGCUCAAGCAGUCUCGAAAACUGUGCUAACCGCAAGGUUAAGGGUUCGAUUCCUUCACCCUCCGCCA
RNAcentral lists this transfer RNA (86 nucleotides) under uncultured Asticcacaulis sp. It matches the Rfam family "tRNA". From Rfam's summary of the family: Transfer RNA (tRNA) molecules are approximately 80 nucleotides in length. Their secondary structure includes four short double-helical elements and three loops (D, anti-codon, and T loops). The record is from RNAcentral. Lineage: Bacteria; Pseudomonadati; Pseudomonadota; Alphaproteobacteria; Caulobacterales; Caulobacteraceae.